RNAcentral lists this ribosomal RNA (497 nucleotides) under uncultured bacterium. RNAcentral's name for it is "partial 16S ribosomal RNA". It matches the Rfam family "Bacterial small subunit ribosomal RNA", at positions 28 to 507 of the family's 1533-position model. The record is from RNAcentral.
GAUGAACGCUGGCGGCGUGCCUAAUACAUGCAAGUCGAGCGAACAGACGAGGAGCUUGCUCCUCUGACGUUAGCGGCGGACGGGUGAGUAACACGUGGAUAACCUACCUAUAAUACUGGGAUAACUUCGGGAAACCGGAGCUAAUACCGGAUAAUAUAUUUAACCGCAUGGUUCAAUAGUGAAAGACGGUUUUGCUGUCACUUAUAGAUGUAUCCGCGCCGCAUUAGCUAGUUGGUAAGGUAACGGCUUACCAAGGCAACGAUGCGUAGCCGACCUGAGAGGGUGAUCGGCCACACUGGAACUGAGACACGGUCCAGACUCCUACGGGAGGCAGCAGUAGGGAAUCUUGCGCAAUGGGCGAAAGCUUGACGGAGCAACGCCGCGUGAGUGAUGAAGGUCUUCGGAUCGUAAAACUCUGUUAUUAGGGAAGAACAAAUGUGUAAGUAACUAUGCACGUCUUGACGGUACCUAAUCAGAAAGCCCCGGCUAACUACGUG